Molecule: ribosomal RNA, 137 nt
Filed under: uncultured eukaryote
Lineage: Eukaryota
Description: partial 18S ribosomal RNA
Rfam family: Eukaryotic small subunit ribosomal RNA
Source: RNAcentral
UGGUGGAGUGAUUUGUCUGGUUAAUUCCGUUAACGAACGAGACCUCGACCUGCUAAAUAGUUCGGCGAACUUUUAGUUCGUCACACUUCUUAGAGGGACUAUCGGUUCAUAACCGAAGGAAGUUCGAGGCAAUAACA